Molecule: transfer RNA, 20 nt
Filed under: Lamprolepis smaragdina
Lineage: Eukaryota; Metazoa; Chordata; Lepidosauria; Squamata; Scincidae
Description: partial tRNA-Tyr
Source: RNAcentral
UUGAUAAGGACGGGGUUAAA